GGGGCCGACUUGGUUUCGACCGGACAGGGAAGGUUUGUCGUCGCACGCCCAGGUGCACGUAUGGUUCCUGGCUAAACAACGUGCAACACUAUAAAUGCCAACAAUGAUGUUGUUGGUCGGAUCGGCUUCGCGCCGGCCCGCCUGGCUGCUUAACUAGCGGCCUCGUCUUUUCGCUGAGUGCCUGUGGCAGUGGAAAGGCGCAAGAUCAGCAGGCUCGCCCGACGGUGCUGCUCUGACGCCCGAAGGUUAAAAAACAUCCGAGCUGGGUCCCGCGAACGCCGUCGCCGGCGGCCGCGUGACCGAGAUCAAAUCGGCGACUAAGCGUGUAGAAGCGGCUUGCUGACUGUCUCGGGACGGGGGUUCGAUUCCCCCCGGCUCCACUU
Molecule: transfer-messenger RNA, 383 nt
Filed under: Phycisphaeraceae
Lineage: Bacteria; Pseudomonadati; Planctomycetota; Phycisphaerae; Phycisphaerales
Also listed under: 1 other name
Description: GCA-2686995 sp002686995 Standard tmRNA
Rfam family: transfer-messenger RNA
About the family: Bacterial tmRNA, also known as 10Sa RNA or SsrA, is named for its dual tRNA and mRNA-like properties. Its role is to liberate the mRNA from a stalled ribosome. To accomplish this part of the tmRNA is used as a reading frame that ends in a translation stop signal.
Source: RNAcentral